Long non-coding RNA from Musa acuminata AAA Group (dessert banana), 2275 nucleotides. RefSeq lists it as uncharacterized. The transcript has 4 exons. The record is from RefSeq and is a predicted model, not a curated record. Lineage: Eukaryota; Viridiplantae; Streptophyta; Magnoliopsida; Zingiberales; Musaceae.
UGUAACGGGCUUUCCUGAUCGUGUGCGGAAGUGAUGGAGGAUGCCGUUCCUCUGUGUGCAAAUCGAGCGCCGUCCUCCCACUUCUCUGGCGGCGGCGCUUCCUCCCUCGGUGCCUUCAACUUCCCCAUCGUAGCCCCCAUCGAGGUAACGACCCUUCUGUCUCCUCAUACACACAACCUAAUUAAUAUAUGUUGUCAUCUGCGUAUUCUUAGCACCAUCGCAGCAGUCGGAUGGUUGAUAUCCGAGAGAGAUUAGGAGGCACGAUCCUCCUGUAUUUGAAUUUUAAUCUUCCACUCCAAUUGGUAUGCCUCUAUUCUUGCCAAGUUUAGUUUCCUUGGGUACAAAGGCACGAUAGGCCUAGAACUUGGUACUUUGUUUAGUAUUCAUUAAGUUCACCAAUCUAGUAGAUCUUCGUGCCUGGUUUAUAAAUGUAGUUGUAGCUAUAAAUAAAGCUAUAAUAUUGGCUAAAUUUCCAACCAUCACAGAUGCAUGCCAUUGUAUUGCAAUGCGAAUUACGUUGACACAACUGACAAAUGAAGGGGCAAAAGGCUCAAUAACAACAAAGAUGCAUUGAAAAUGUUGAGGAAAUAUUGCCGUGCAAAAUAUGCAGGAGAUACAAAUGGGCGUAGGAUAUUUUCUAGAUUCAUGUUGGUUCUUCCUUAAGGAGUCCCUUCUCUCGGAAGCUCUUGAUGCAGUCAUUAAACAUCUGUGGGAGAGUUUUGAAACAUGGAAGCCCGAGUUCCCUGAUCUUGGUAGUGUCCAUGCUGUGUGGAUUGUUGUCACCUUCCUGGUCAUUGCACCUGUCGGUUCCAAUUCGAUGUCAGUAAUAUUGACUCAGGAGGCAUCUCCUGAUAACUAAAACAAUCAGGGAACAACAAAAGAGUAUCACUUGGAUGGCAUCGGAUAAGAUGGGUUGUUUGCUCUAAUCAUCUCCAUGAUCUCCGACCAGCGGGCAACACUACCGGAACAAAUGAGCCUUCCGGAGACUCUGCUGUCCUCCAUGGCAAGAAUGUGGCUGAAGAUUACAUCAUCAACGUGAACAAAUCCCAUGGUUGUGUUCGGGUACCAGGAAAUAUUUCCUUUAAGAAGAUGGUCAGGUUUUAACAGAGCAAGACUGAAGUGUUUGCGUGAUGUUUGUGAUUCAGAGCAUGAAAUUGGAACAUAGGUGUAUUUACCUUUCAAGAUGGAGAGUAUGAGGAGGAGGGUGCUCGUUGGUCGUGGUGCAAUUAAUGGUCCGACGACAAAAGAUGGAUUCACUACCACUAGAUUGAUGCCAAAAUGCUCUGCUAAUCUCCAUGCUUCCUUUUCAGCCAAUGUCUUCGCAUAUGCAUACCACAGCUGCCAUUUGGAGAUGCUUAAAUUAAUAAAGGGUAGACCCAGAGUUUUGUGCUGUGUCAAUGACAUCCAUCACAUACAGAUAGAGCGCAUCGCAGUUGGAUGUGAAGUUUGCCGAUAUGCUACUGACACAAGCUAAAACUUCUCAUCAGUUCUUUGUCAGUUAACUAACUUGCAUUGGGCAUCUGGGUUCCCUGCAAACACAUAUUUGUUUUGGCCAGGAAUCGUUUGCAGGGAAGGACCCUUUUUUUGGUGGGCCUGGCCAUCUGCUGGGAACCAGAUGCCAUAUACAAAUUAUUCAGCUGCAAAGAGUUGUUCGGAAGUGUUCUUCCCAGAUAGAUGAGCAAGCUCUUUGGGUAUCAUGAAAAGCACACUGCUGAAAACAUGUCAGGAAUAUGAGAAGGCUUACGUUGUAUCUUUUGCAGUAUUCGGGGUCGCUCCAGUGUGACUCGUUGAGUGGGGAAACCAGAGUGACAUCAUAUCGGUACCUGAUGGAAGAGCAGGAAGAGGUGAGGACGACACGCCUCACCGAGCUUGCUUUGGAGCAGGAUUUGAGCACAUUCGUAGUGCCUUGUAUGGCUGGAUCUAUCAGAGCUUGCUGCCAACAAUUGAACCUUAUCGUUAUAAUCCAACCAGCGCAGUGGCCAUCACCGGUUUGGAGGAAGAACUCGUUCAGCAGAGGCUUGACAGAUACAGCUGCCAGGUAUUAUAUCCUAACAUGAUAAAGACCAACGAGGAGGACCCAGCGCAGUGUUGUCGCCGAUCAUCUUGGAGAAAGCACAAAGGACCCACUAGUCGGGGGAUCUACCGAGGUUUAAUCGGAGAAGACAGACGAAUAUUUUGUCAAAAUUUUCCCUUAGCAGUCUACUCACAGAUCACAAUCAACAAGAAGGGAACAACAAUGGAGUUCAGUGUGCGUGCGUGGACCUGGACGUUUUGG